RNAcentral lists this ribosomal RNA (404 nucleotides) under uncultured bacterium. RNAcentral's name for it is "bacterial SSU rRNA". It matches the Rfam family "Bacterial small subunit ribosomal RNA", at positions 355 to 775 of the family's 1533-position model. The record is from RNAcentral.
UGAGGAAUAUUGCGCAAUGGGGGCAACCCUGACGCAGCAACGCCGCGUGGAGGAUGAAGGUCUUUGGAUUGUAAACUCCUUUUCUUGGGGAAGAGAACGGACGGUACCCGAGGAAUAAGUCACGGCUAACAACGUGCCAGCAGCCGCGGUAAUACGUAGGUGGCGAGCGUUAUCCGGAAUUACUGGGCGUAAAGCGCACGCAGGCGGCUCUUUAAGUUUGACGUGAAAACUCCUAGCUUAACUGGGAGAGGACGUUGAAGACUGGAAAGCUUGAGGUAAUGAGAGGGGUGCGGAAUUCCCGGUGUAGUGGUGGAAUGCGUAGAGAUCGGGAGGAACACCAGUGGCGAAAGCGGCACCCUAGCAUUGACCUGACGCUCAUGUGCGAAAGCGUGGGGAGCGAACGG